UCCCUGGUGGCUUAGACGGAAAAGAAUUUGCCUGCAAUGCUGGAGACCCAGGUUCAAUCCCUGGGUUGGGAA
RNAcentral lists this transfer RNA (72 nucleotides) under Bos taurus (domestic cattle). It matches the Rfam family "tRNA". From Rfam's summary of the family: Transfer RNA (tRNA) molecules are approximately 80 nucleotides in length. Their secondary structure includes four short double-helical elements and three loops (D, anti-codon, and T loops). Lineage: Eukaryota; Metazoa; Chordata; Mammalia; Artiodactyla; Bovidae. The record is from Rfam by way of RNAcentral. RNAcentral also lists the same sequence under 1 other name.